GCCUGGGUGGCUCAGUCGGUUAAGCGUCUGACUUCGGCUCAGGUCAUGAUCUCACGGUCUGUGAGUUCGAGCCCCGCAUCGGGCU
RNAcentral lists this transfer RNA (85 nucleotides) under Felis catus (domestic cat). It matches the Rfam family "tRNA". From Rfam's summary of the family: Transfer RNA (tRNA) molecules are approximately 80 nucleotides in length. Their secondary structure includes four short double-helical elements and three loops (D, anti-codon, and T loops). Further hydrogen bonds mediate the characteristic L-shaped molecular structure. tRNAs have two regions of fundamental functional importance: the anti-codon, which is responsible for specific mRNA codon recognition, and the 3' end, to which the tRNAs corresponding amino acid is attached (by aminoacyl-tRNA synthetases). tRNAs cope with the degeneracy of the genetic code in two manners: having more than one tRNA (with a specific anti-codon) for a particular amino acid; and 'wobble' base-pairing, i.e. permitting non-standard base-pairing at the 3rd anti-codon position. Lineage: Eukaryota; Metazoa; Chordata; Mammalia; Carnivora; Felidae. The record is from Rfam by way of RNAcentral. RNAcentral also lists the same sequence under 2 other names.